GACGAACGCUGGCGGCGUGCUUAACACAUGCAAGUCGAACGGAAAGGCCCUGCUUGCAGGGUACUCGAGUGGCGAACGGGUGAGUAACACGUGGGUGAUCUGCCCUGCACUUCGGGAUAAGCCUGGGAAACUGGGCCUAAUACCGGAUAGGAGCCAUUUUUAGCGGGAUGGUUGGAAAGUUUUUUCGGUGUAGGAUGAGCUCGCGGCCUAUCAGCUUGUUGGUGGGGUAAUGGCCUACCAAGGCGGCGACGGGUAGCCGGCCUGAGGGGGUGGACGGCCACCUUGGGUCUGAGAUGCGGCCCCGACUCCUACGGGAGGCCGCAGUGGGGAAUAUUGCCCAAUGGACGCCAGCCUGAUGCAGCGGCGCCGCGUGGGGGAUGACGGCCUUCGGGUUGUAGACUCCUUUCGCUAGGAACGAAGCUUUUUGUGACGGUACCUAGAUAAGAAGCACCGGCUAACUACGUG
This 465-nucleotide ribosomal RNA is filed under the name uncultured bacterium. Its description in RNAcentral is "partial 16S ribosomal RNA". It matches the Rfam family "Bacterial small subunit ribosomal RNA", at positions 28 to 507 of the family's 1533-position model. The record is from RNAcentral.